RNAcentral lists this ribosomal RNA (481 nucleotides) under uncultured bacterium. RNAcentral's name for it is "bacterial SSU rRNA". It matches the Rfam family "Bacterial small subunit ribosomal RNA", at positions 28 to 524 of the family's 1533-position model. The record is from RNAcentral.
GACGAACGCUGGCGGCGUGCUUAACACAUGCAAGUCGAACGGUGACCCAGGGCUUGCCCUGGUGAUCAGUGGCGAACGGGUGAGUAACACGUGGGCAACCUGCCCCUGACUUCGGGAUAACUCCUCGAAAGAGGAGCUAAUACCGGAUACGACCACUUCGGACAUCCGAUGGUGGUGGAAAGUUUUUCGGUCAGGGAUGGGCCCGCGGCCUAUCAGCUAGUUGGUGGGGUAAUGGCCUACCAAGGCGACGACGGGUAGCCGGCCUGAGAGGGCGACCGGCCACACUGGGACUGAGACACGGCCCAGACUCCUACGGGAGGCAGCAGUGGGGAAUAUUGCGCAAUGGGCGAAAGCCUGACGCAGCGACGCCGCGUGAGGGAUGAAGGCCUUCGGUUGUAAACCUCUUUCAGCAGGACGAAGCGAAAGUGACGGUACCUGCAGAAGAAGCACCGGCUAACUACGUGCCAGCAGCCGCGGUAAU